Molecule: long non-coding RNA, 3494 nt
Organism: Strigops habroptila (Kakapo)
Lineage: Eukaryota; Metazoa; Chordata; Aves; Psittaciformes; Psittacidae
Source: Ensembl
AGGAACAUCGUGACAAAAAAGGGACACAUUUUCCAUCCAAAAUGCACUUAAUUUCAAAACUGUUUGAUCAUCUGUAGCAUUGGCUUCAACACAAGUGCUAUACAUCCUUCUACCUUUGUGUCAGCACUCGUUAUAAAAAGAACUGGUAAUUAGAUUAGUCCUGUGAGCAACAGUUGCUUAUCUAAGAAUGUGUUUGACAGGCUGAGCCAUAAAUAAGAAGCUGUAAAUGAAUAUAAGGAGAAAUCAAGACUUCCCAAAUAAAACCUAAGCUUAUUUCCAUGUUAUGCUAACUGAUAAAUGCUGAAGGUCCAUCCAUUCUCUCAAUGUCUUUACAUGAAGUUAAUGCUGAUUUAUUUCAUUUAUCACUUGAUCUUUUAUUCCAAAUUAUAGCUUGAUUCUAAAGUCCUUGUCUGCAAACAAAAAAAUAUCACCCUGAGGUUGGGUUGAAGUUGGUUGAGCAAACCUGUGAAAGCAUCUUGCCUGUUCUGCCUAAGCCAGGAACAAAUUAACCAUCCAGGAGGUACCCCUAUGUGAUUUUGUACUUGGCAGCACAUUGCUUGUAAGCCUAUCAACGUGUUUUACUAUGAAUCACUGUAAGAAACUUGCUUAUGUUUUACAGGAGGCAAUACAUACUGUAGUCCUUAUGCUAAGUAAAUCCAGCUAUAAGAGCACAUUAGUAUGAAACCCACAUGCUGUGUUCCAGUUCUUACUGCGAAGGUUUAGGGCCUAAAGUGAUUAUGCCUCUUUAUAGUAUAUUACCUGAAUUUUUAGUCAAAUUCAGUUAAAUUACGAAUUGAUUCAAAAGCGGCCUGUUUCCAGUGACACAGCUGUUAGCUACCAAGUCAGCUCCUUUUUGUAUUUAACAGCAUGUGCAGUCAAGAAGAAAGACCCAAUAAAAAAACACUUUGUGCUUUUAUGAAGAAAAAGAAUUGUUUGAAUUGCCACUGAUAGUGUGCAUGUCUGCAACAGAGAGAGGCUUGCAUUUGUUGAUAUUACCCUCUGUAUAGUGCAGUAAUAUGUACAGUAUGGGAUCAAACAGCAGCAGCUGUAUUAAUUUUGAUUAAUAAAGUGUUAGGCUCUCCUUUCAUUUUCAUGUGCUUCUUAUGGUACAGAAAGACUGUCACACGUGCGUAGGCAUGCUUGACAACCUGGGGUCAGUCUGAGAAGUGAGCAGCAGCUAAGGCAGAGUUUGGGUAACGAGCAUUGCUACCUGAAGCAGGCUUGCUGUGAUAGAAAGCAUUUACUAGGAAAGAAGAUAAUCUCAGUAUAGAAAAAUAUAGAUACCAAGUCAGCAGCUUGUAAAAGGAAACCUUUCUUGCAUGUUGUCCCAAAAAUCACAACCACAGUUAGUUGAGAUAUAACUUUAAAAUAUUGCAACCAUUUAAUAGUUUAACCAUUUAACCAAAGAAUCAUCAGAUUCAGAAAAGAACAGAUUUCUCCAAAAUCUUUCCCUCCUCCGUCAUCCUUCCUCAAAAACAAUAACAAAAGCAACAAAAAUCAUUCGGUGAGUGCAACACUGCUAAAUGAAGACAGAGCCACAAGGCUUAACUGUACAUCCAGGAACAUAAUUUGCAAGGUGAGUUGGAAUAAUUUGUAUUACACUAACGUUCAUUAUGGAUCAAGCUCUUAGGGAAAUUUCUCUUUAGGGAAUACAUAGGACUUGUCUCCAUUUGUCCCUGUAUAUUUUUUCCACUGUAAUUCAGUACUCCAGAUUUCCACAGUCAGAGGCUUUAGUAGUGUCAUUCAGUAGUCAGAGGCUUUACCAAUGCCUAAUAAAACAAUAAAAAAUAUCAUGCAGAACUGAAUCAUGGAUUUACACAUCAUGACAUGCACAUCUGGGAAGGAAAGCUGGCUCUAUGUAUUCAUGACUUGUGUGGGUAGAGUUUAACUGGGGAUUCAGGCUGAUGCAAAGCAAAGAUUUUUGCUGUAGAAGGUUUUCAUUCCUACUGCUAUAGCUCUCCUCUGUAACUAAAGUUUCAGAGGAAUCUCUCUGAACAAAAGCUUUCCACUCUAACAGUCAUUUAGGCUAUAGACUGAGAAUAAAAAUUCAUUGUAGGCACUUACCAAAGUGCCUGAAGCAGCAGCCUCGUCAAAAGAUCUGAAUCAGCACUAGGGGAUAUGUAGUCUUCUCUGGGGUUUAUUUUUUAACAGAGGAAGCCUGGAAUGAACUAGAUCCCUAAUUCAGGCGUUAGGAUAGAUGAAUUGGAAUCUUAUUCUUCAAUUGCACAGAAGCACUAAUGUCUACCAGCAUUAACUCCACGUUAUUUGUCCUUCGCACAUCUCAUUCACUGAAUGUAGGGACCAAGGAAUAUGAAGCAGCGCAAAUAAUCCAGAUCCAGAGAGGUCAGCUUGUUCUUGGUUAGGGUCAGUUUGAAACAGGACAGCAGCAAAUAUAAAAGUUCUUGGCAGUUCAUGCCUGACUGUGAAAUAGUCCUGUUCCAUGCAGUUAUUGAUCUUCUUUUUGCUUAGAUAAGAAGACUAGGAAGUUAAAACAAAAGAAAAGGAACAGAUACUUUUCAUAACAAAGCUACAGAAUUUCACAUCCCUCUUUGGGUUUCCAACAGGCUGAAAUCUGGAGUGGAUAAUCCUAAACCUACAUAGAUUUCAUUGUCUGUGUUUAAUCAGAAAUUAAACAAGAAAGUGACAAACGUGAGUUCAAAGACUGUGACACCAAUCUCUGCUCACAUCAGUCAGUGACAUUAACCCCUAACCUGACCAGUUGACUCUGACCCGAGUGUCAGUUUCACCAUUUUCACAUUCAUUACUCACCAUUUUCAUUUCUACCAGUAGUUGCCACAAUAGUAUAUGGCCCAGUUUCUUCUGUGUUAAUAGUUAAUCUUAUGCAAGAUUUGACAGUCAAUUUAGUAUCUAUCCAAGAGGUGAUAUAAGUGCCAAAAAUAGACAAAAAAAGAGAAGAAAAAAAAGCCCAAGUACAACGUGUUGUGGGAUGAUGGAACUGUGGUACCCCAUAGGCACAAAGGGUGCAACUUCCAGAGAUCAGACAGAUCUGAAGGCACGGAACUGGAGUCCAUGGCAGUGGAUGAACAUCACCCCAUCAACAAAAAUGUGCUUCAAAUAUUCUAUUGCUAAAACAAAAAAUGCUUAACACUAGAUUUACCCACUCACCCAUUUACUACUUCCUCUGUGGCAUUUAAACAUUCCAUUUCAGCAUCACUAAUGAUCUCAGUGUUCCUAACAUAGUAAUGAUCGUAUAAAAACCAGGAAAGUGAAGACAAUUUUACAUCCCAAACUUAUCCUUCACUGAAUCGAUUCAGCUCUGUGCAUGUUCUGUCUUGUCUUGUAACAUUAGAGUGUAAGUCCUUAGGACAGGAUUCGUUGUUUUGUAGCUGUCAGUCACUAUGUAAAAUCAUACACCACAAAUAAAGAUAAAUUUCUACACCACAAAUAAAGUUGAGGAGAAUUUUGCCUGUGCUGCCAAACUGAAAACUUUCAGUUUGGCUUAUUAACAAUAAAACUAGACCUUCCUCCCUUUC